UCCCUGGUGGUCCAAUGGCUAAGACUCUGCCCUCCUGAUGCAGUGGGCCCAGGUUCGAUCCCUGGACAGGGAA
This is a transfer RNA of Ovis aries (sheep), 73 nucleotides long. It matches the Rfam family "tRNA". From Rfam's summary of the family: Transfer RNA (tRNA) molecules are approximately 80 nucleotides in length. Their secondary structure includes four short double-helical elements and three loops (D, anti-codon, and T loops). Further hydrogen bonds mediate the characteristic L-shaped molecular structure. tRNAs have two regions of fundamental functional importance: the anti-codon, which is responsible for specific mRNA codon recognition, and the 3' end, to which the tRNAs corresponding amino acid is attached (by aminoacyl-tRNA synthetases). tRNAs cope with the degeneracy of the genetic code in two manners: having more than one tRNA (with a specific anti-codon) for a particular amino acid; and 'wobble' base-pairing, i.e. permitting non-standard base-pairing at the 3rd anti-codon position. The record is from Rfam. Lineage: Eukaryota; Metazoa; Chordata; Mammalia; Artiodactyla; Bovidae.